AGAUUGAACGCUGGCGGCAUGCCUUACACAUGCAAGUCGAACGGCAGCACGGGAGCAAUCCUGGUGGCGAGUGGCGAACGGGUGAGUAAUAUAUCGGAACGUGCCCAGUCGUGGGGGAUAACGCAGCGAAAGCUGUGCUAAUACCGCAUACGAUCUAUGGAUGAAAGCGGGGGAUCGCAAGACCUCGCGCGAUUGGAGCGGCUGAUAUCAGAUUAGGUUGUUGGUGAGGUAAAAGCUCACCAAGCCGACGAUCUGUAGCUGGUUUGAGAGAACGACCAGCCACACUGGGACUGAGACGA
This 299-nucleotide ribosomal RNA is filed under the name uncultured soil bacterium. RNAcentral describes it as "partial 16S ribosomal RNA". It matches the Rfam family "Bacterial small subunit ribosomal RNA", at positions 26 to 327 of the family's 1533-position model. The record is from RNAcentral.